Gasterosteus aculeatus aculeatus (three-spined stickleback) is the source of this 784-nucleotide non-coding RNA. NCBI's taxonomy places the organism in Eukaryota, Metazoa, Chordata, Actinopteri, Perciformes, Gasterosteidae. The record is from RefSeq and is a predicted model, not a curated record.
CCUCUCGCGGCCCACACUUUGGGAAUCGCUGAUUUACAUUAUAAGUUGUUGAUACAAAUGUGUAUGUAAACAUUUACUCUUUACUCCCUGUUAUCCACUUCUUUCAUUCAUGUCAGUUACUUGUUUUGUUUCUUUAUAUUGUAUGUUAAUAUUUUAUUUAUGUUCAAACAUGUUUCUGCCAUUAGACGCUGCUCAUCAGAAUCAUUUAAUGUGCAGGAUGAUUUCUGAGAAAAGUUGCUUUUGCAGGUUCCUCUUUCUUUGACACAUUUUCUAUUUUCAGUGGGAACAUUUUAAAAGAAAGGAAGUGUUUGUCUUUGCGAGUGCAGUGAUCGACAAGAUACGUUAAAGGUGUUAAACUGAAGCAAAACCGCAACUAACACACACAGUACAAACAACAUUUUAUAUUCAUGUAGUUUAUUGACAUAAUAAUGUUUGGUCCUUUUUAUUCUCUCAAAUGUUGGUUUUGUUCCAGGGAGCAGAGAUGAAAAGCUUCCUCUACGACACUCACAUGAUAUGAAUAAGGCCUUUAAAGUGGAGCAGGAACAGAUCUCAAGCCGUCAGAGAGGAAGUUCAAAAGGAGCCUGAUGACGAGCAGCUGUGUGCAAACGUCUCCGAGCUUCUUUGAAUAAGAGGCCAGCUGUGCGUCAUCUCUUUAUUUUGGAGCUUUGCACUCUUUAGCCGUGAGCAUAAACGCGAUGUGAUACUGUAAAUGAACCAGUGAGCAGCUUGAGAAGCUGAAUGUGUGUGUUGUGGACUGAAAGAUAACGUCUUAAUUUGUAUUUAA